RNAcentral lists this long non-coding RNA (1597 nucleotides) under Canis lupus familiaris (dog). RNAcentral describes it as "lncRNA (ENSCAFG00845000501.1)". Lineage: Eukaryota; Metazoa; Chordata; Mammalia; Carnivora; Canidae. The record is from RNAcentral.
UUUUUGGUGUAUAGAAAUGGUACUGAUUUUUGUAUGCUAAUUUCAUGUACUGCAGCUUUGCUGAAGUCAUUCAUUAGAUCUAACAGUUUUGCCAGAUGGUUAAGUCUGGAGCUGGAUGAUGAGCAACCACUGACAAAAUCAGUUCUUCUCGGCAUUGUAGGAAACAACCACUGGAAUCCCUAAUCAGAUUUGUUGCUCAGCCCUCCACUCCCACUACAAAAUCAGUUAAAGUUAGCAGCAUUCUUUCUCUGUCCCCUGCUUCUUUGGUACACACGCUAUCCAUUAGAAAGCAAGGGAAAAUUUUCCCUAUAAGUUCUCUUAUGGGCUGAUUCCUAACAGAAAAUAGGAUGCAAGUUUCUUGCAUUCACCUAUUUUGCUCUUACUGUGUGAUCCCCAGUCUGCAACACCCUUCUUCUAGCUCCAAGUCUGUCUUUUUCUGGUAUUAAACCAUUGGUCAGUAGCUUAUUGGCUUUCCUUGUCUGUAAGUUUUUUUACACAAAAGACUCCACAAAGCCUGGCUCAUUUGUCCACCCCAAAGUGGAUAAAAAUGGGCAACUGAGAAGACCACAUAACCACCAAGAAAUGAGCAGAGUAUAGUAGCAUCAUUCCUGUUAGCCUUAGAGGAGAGUUUUAGGGAUGCCAUAUAUUGACAUCUUAUUAGGAGAGGUGUCCAAAAUACUUAGUAAAAUUGUAUUAAGCUUCUUUGGUUGAACAUCUACUCAAAAGGAAAUAUCUGCACUUUAGCUGAAGUAUCUUAAAAGCAUACGACUCUCCAAUAUCCUACUCCAGAUCUAAGUGAAUCUAGCAGUGAAACCAUACUUUGUGGAAAAGUGCCUCUUCCACAACAGCUGAGAAACAACUAAGAGCCUUCAACCAAGAGCCUGCAUAAGUUCAUGCAUAAUGAUUUAGUUGGUUGGUACACUUUCUGGGUCCUGACUACUAAGUUCCAAGAACAAAGUGACUUGCUACUUUUGUCUCCAGGAAUCGUCUAGUUGGGUAGUCUUGUUGUGUCUAGAGGCCAUGAGCUUCACUUUGGCCGUGUCUUAUUAGACAGUCCUGGGCCAAGAACUAUGCAGAUCAUCCAGGGUAAUCUAUCUCAAGAUUCUAAACUUAGCUACAUAUGCAAAGUCUGUUUUGUCUGUUAAGGUAAUUUAUUCACAGUUUCUAGAGAUUAGAACAUGAACAGAUUUGAGUGCCUACCACACAAACACUAUCUGCUAAAGGGUAAAUACAACUCAGUCAAAAUGUUCUUUGUUUUCCGAUCAUUUGUAAUGUACAUUGUUGGAGAUCAAAAUUGAUUUCAAAAAGGUAACCAAAUCAUAUAUCGGUAAUGCCACUUUGAUGGAGUUCAAAAAUUUCAUGUAUUUUAAAUAUUCUGAAAUUAAUUCUCAGCAGUUGAGUGUCUACCUUCAGUUCAGGGCGUGAUCCCAGAAUCCGGACUGAGUCUCAUACCGAAUUCCCUGCGGGGAGCCUGCUUCUCCCUCUGCCUGUGUCUCUGCUCUCUCUCUCUCUCUCUUAUGAAUAAAUAAAUAAACUUUUUGAAAAAUAAUGAUAAGGGGCAGCCCAGGUGGCUCAGCCGUUGAGCAUCUGCCUUGGG